GACCAUACUCCUUCGGACUGUGUAAGGACUGCUAUAGACUAUAGACUCGUUUCGACUUGCAGCGCAAGCUUGCGCCUUCUGUGCGGGAUAUCUGGCAGUAGGGAUAGCCCCUAACCAUCAGUUACAUCUAUGUAUUUGGUAUAAUAUCGACUUAUUUCUCAAUUAUUUCGAGGAAUGCAACUUGUAAACGAAGUCUGAUUGAUCAUCAAAUAAAUUACAAUAACAUCACGAUAACAAUGCGGCGUAUGAAGUAAGAUGAACAUUAUAAACUAGAAUACCGAAGCCAACUAAAACGAAGGUCAAGUCUGAAGUUAUAUAAAAAUAGUGCUCGUUUAUCCUGUGUCAAUUGAGGUACAAUGAACUUAACGAUCCAAGCUUCCGCUUUCACAUUACUAUACUGUAACCAAGUAUAAUAUCUUUAUUGCGUUUAUAUACCAUAAUUGAAAUACAAAAUAUUAAAUUGGCGCCAAGUUUCUAUGAAAAAGCAAAAAGUUUGUGCGCAUGCGUAUGAAGGAAAAUCGCUAAGAUGAGCGCGAACCAAACCGAUUUUAGUGAAAUAAAUUAAAAUGAGAGGAACGGUUUACAGUCGAUGGAAAGAGACUACAAUGAAACGUAUUUUGUAGGUUAUUAUUCGUUGUCUAUGGGAGAUAUAAAUCAUAUGAAGGUCAUUGGGUCAAGACCGGUUACCGGCGACGUUAUCACACACCCUAAAUGAACUCUCAAUGAACGUAACCUUCAGGCAAAAUGCAGAAAACUGUGGAAAGAUAAAGGUGCACAUUAAAAGCUUUCUGUACUUACCACCCAUAGUUGGAAAUAAACUUUAUUUCUUUUUUAACAGAUCAAUUCUACACACUUAACACUUGCCAAUGCCCACACAACUGACAAAAAAUUGUACGCACUUCAUCAGCGCUACAAUACGAGUGACGACUCGCAACUCUCCUACCAUUCCACAGCGCUCUCCCCACCUUAUGUAUACUAACUGUUCUGUAUUAUCUACUGAAAGUUUUACAGAUUUAGUAGUACUUACAUGUGGCUUCCACGUGCAGUGACAAAAUUAACACAUAGGACCAUUUAAAUAAAACAGGUAUUCG
Long non-coding RNA from Osmia lignaria (orchard mason bee), 1091 nucleotides. RefSeq lists it as uncharacterized. The record is from RefSeq and is a predicted model, not a curated record. Lineage: Eukaryota; Metazoa; Arthropoda; Insecta; Hymenoptera; Megachilidae.